RNAcentral lists this transfer RNA (65 nucleotides) under Caudoviricetes sp. RNAcentral describes it as "tRNA-OTHER". The record is from RNAcentral. Lineage: Duplodnaviria; Heunggongvirae; Uroviricota; Caudoviricetes.
CGUCUUAAUUUGCGGAUAGACUCAUAAUCCCUUGGUCGUGGGUUCGAACCCCACCGGACCCACCA